GAUGAACGCUAGCUACAGGCUUAACACAUGCCAGUCGCGGGGCAGCAUGGGGGUUGCUUGCAAUCCCCGAUGGCGACCGGCGCACGGGUGAGUAACGCGUAUCCAACCUGCCCUUCACCACGGGAUAACCCGGCGAAAGUCGGACUAAUACCGUAUGUUGUCCAUUGACGGCAUCCGAUUUGGACGAAAGGUUUGGCGGUGAAGGAUGGGGAUGCGUCCGAUUAGCUGGACGGCGGGGUGACGGCCCACCGUGGCGACGAUCGGUAGGGGUUCUGAGAGGAAGGUCCACCACACUGGAACUGCGACACGGUCCAGACUCCUACGGGAGGCAGCAGUGAGGAAUAUUGGUCAAUGGGCGUAAGCCUGAACCAGCCAAGUAGCGUGCAGGAGGACGGCCCUAGGGGUGGUAAACUGCUUUUAUGCGGGGAUAAAGUGGCCCACGUGUGGGUUUUUGCAGGUACCGCAUGAAUAAGGACCGGCUAAUUCCGUG
This 490-nucleotide ribosomal RNA is filed under the name uncultured bacterium. RNAcentral's name for it is "partial 16S ribosomal RNA". It matches the Rfam family "Bacterial small subunit ribosomal RNA", at positions 28 to 507 of the family's 1533-position model. The record is from RNAcentral.